UACGAAGGACCCGAGCGUUAUCCGGAUUUAUUGGGUUUAAAGGGUGCGUAGGCGGAUUAGUAAGUCAGUGGUGAAAGCCUGAUGCUUAACAUCAGAAUUGCCAUUGAUACUGUUAGUCUUGAGUACGGUUGAGGUGGGCGGAAUGUGUCAUGUAGCGGUGAAAUGCUUAGAUAUGACACAGAACACCAAUUGCGAAGGCAGCUCGCUAAACCGUAACUGACGCUGAGGCACGAAAGCGUGGGGAGCAAACAGG
This 253-nucleotide ribosomal RNA is filed under the name uncultured bacterium. Its description in RNAcentral is "partial 16S ribosomal RNA". It matches the Rfam family "Bacterial small subunit ribosomal RNA", at positions 524 to 776 of the family's 1533-position model. The record is from RNAcentral.